UGAAACCUAGUGAUGUAUGGAUUAGUGGCGGACGGGUGAGUAACGCGUGGAUAACCUGCCGUAUACAGGGGGAUAACACUUAGAAAUAGGUGCUAAUACCGCAUAAGCGCACGGUUCCGCAUGGAACAGUGUGAAAAACUCCGGUGGUAUACGAUGGAUCCGCGUCUGAUUAGCCAGUUGGCGGGGUAACGGCCCACCAAAGCGACGAUCAGUAGCCGGCCUGAGAGGGUGAACGGCCACAUUGGGACUGAGACACGGCCCAAACUCCUACGGGAGGCAGCAGUGGGGAAUAUUGCACAAUGGGGGAAACCCUGAUGCAGCGACGCCGCGUGAGUGAAGAAGUAUCUCGGUACGUAAAGCUCUAUCAGCAGGGAAGAAAAUGACGGUACCUGACUAAGAAGCCCCGGCUAACUACGUGCCAGCAGCCGCGGUAAUACGUAGGGGGCAAGCGUUAUCCGGAUUUACUGGGUGUAAAGGGAGCGUAGACGGCAGCGCAAGUCUGGAGUGAAAUGCCGGGGCUCAACCCCGGAACUGCUUUGGAAACUGUGCAGCUCGAGUGCAGGAGAGGUAAGCGGAAUUCCUAGUGUAGCGGUGAAAUGCGUAGAUAUUAGGAGGAACACCAGUGGCGAAGGCGGCUUACUGGACUGUAACUGACGUUGAGGCUCGAAAGCGUGGGGAGCAAACAGGAUUAGAUACCCUGGUAGUCCACGCCGUANACGAUGAUUACUAGGUGUCGGGGGGCCAAGGCCCNCCGGUGCCGCCGCAAACGCAUUAAGUAAUCCACCUGGGGAGUA
This 794-nucleotide ribosomal RNA is filed under the name uncultured bacterium. Its description in RNAcentral is "bacterial SSU rRNA". It matches the Rfam family "Bacterial small subunit ribosomal RNA", at positions 71 to 882 of the family's 1533-position model. The record is from RNAcentral.